UUCGCAAUGCCCGAAAGGGUGAACGAGCGACGCCGCGUGCGGGAUGAAGGUCUUCGGAUCGUAAACCGCUUUUAUUAGGAAAGAAGAUUAUGCUCGUGAAGCAUAGUUUGACGGUACCUGAUGAAUAAGCCUCGGCUAACUCCGUGCCAGCAGCCGCGGUAAUACGGAGGAGGCGAGCGUUGUUCGGAAUCAUUGGGCGUAAAGGGCUUGUAGGCGGACAGGUGUGUCUGGCGUGAAAUCUCCACUGCUUACCAGGGAGGGCGCGUUGGAAACUGCUUGUCUGGAGUAUGACAGAGGGUCGCGGAAUUCCGGGUGUAGCGGUGGAAUGCGUAGAUAUCCGGAGGAACACCGGUGGCGAAGGCGGCGGCCUGGGUCAAUACUGACGCUGAGGAGCGAAAGCUAGGGUAGCAAACAGGCUUAGAUACCCUGGUAGUCCUAGCUGUAAACGAUGGGCACUAAGUAGAGGGGUUUU
This 472-nucleotide ribosomal RNA is filed under the name uncultured anaerobic ammonium-oxidizing bacterium. RNAcentral describes it as "bacterial SSU rRNA". It matches the Rfam family "Bacterial small subunit ribosomal RNA", at positions 364 to 832 of the family's 1533-position model. The record is from RNAcentral.